GGGACCUGUGUUCACUGCAGAGCAGCACGGAGCAGCCGAAUGGAAGCAGCCGGGACUUCUGUGGUGACAAUAAUUUAGUUUCCAGGUUUGGAAAAGAAACACUGCUGGGGAGGAAUUGAAUGAAUUUAUUAAUGAGCAUGAUGUGAAGAAAAAUGACAGAAAAUAAUUUUCUACUUGAAUGCCACUAUUUGCUCAAUCUUUUGUUCUUGGAAGGGAUAGAAAGAACUUCCUAGGAAUCAAAGUGAGCUAAAAGCCACUGAAGGACAUUAGAAUACUUCAUAGCAACCAGAAGUUCCUGAUUUCAAAGUACUGCUCUAUUUCAUGAAGGAACCCAAGUAAGAAGAUAGUUCUAUAAAUUAAAAUUAAAAUCUGAGCUCCUGGAAACAAUUUCCGUAAGCUCUCAGGAACAAGCCAGCUGCCACAGAGGGUCACUGACACCACUGAGUCCUUUUCAAGCAAGAUCUGCUACUGUUAGCAACGUGCAGUGUUCCAGCAGAUACAUCUAAUUUUAUUCAUUUUGUUUUUAAAAAUAACUACCUUGCUUUAAUUUUUUUCAGUUUCAUUGGGCCUUAGUAUUAUAUAUUAAAGUUAUUUUUCUAAACAA
Rhea pennata is the source of this 604-nucleotide long non-coding RNA. RefSeq lists it as uncharacterized. The transcript is spliced from 5 exons. Lineage: Eukaryota; Metazoa; Chordata; Aves; Rheiformes; Rheidae. The record is from RefSeq and is a predicted model, not a curated record.